GACGAACGCUGGCGGCGUGCUUAACACCUGCAAGUCGAACGGAAAGGCCCCUUUGGGGGUACUCGAGUGGCGAACGGGUGAGUAACACGUGAGUAACCUGCCCUUGACUUCGGGAUAACUUCAGGAAACUGGGGCUAAUACCGGAUAGGAAUCCUUGCUGCAUGGUGGGGGUUGGAAAGCUUCGGCGGUUUUGGAUGGACUCGCGGCUUAUCAGCUUGUUGGUGGGGUAGUGGCUUACCAAGGCUUUGACGGGUAGCCGGCCUGAGAGGGCGACCGGCCACAUUGGGACUGAGAUACGGCCCAGACUCCUACGGGAGGAAGCAGUGGGGAAGAUUGCACAAUGGGCGGAAGCCUGAUGCAGCAACGCCGCGUGCGGGAUGACGGCCUUCGGGUUGUAAACCGCUUUCAGCAGGGGCGAAGCUUGUGGUGACGGUACCUGCAGAAGAAGCACCGGCUAACUACGUG
RNAcentral lists this ribosomal RNA (465 nucleotides) under uncultured bacterium. Its description in RNAcentral is "partial 16S ribosomal RNA". It matches the Rfam family "Bacterial small subunit ribosomal RNA", at positions 28 to 507 of the family's 1533-position model. The record is from RNAcentral.